This 21-nucleotide unclassified non-coding RNA is filed under the name Mus musculus (house mouse). Its description in RNAcentral is "oocyte_clustered_small_RNA8468". Lineage: Eukaryota; Metazoa; Chordata; Mammalia; Rodentia; Muridae. The record is from RNAcentral.
GUGAGUCCUCUCUGGGGUCAU